Molecule: ribosomal RNA, 497 nt
Filed under: uncultured bacterium
Lineage: Bacteria
Description: partial 16S ribosomal RNA
Rfam family: Bacterial small subunit ribosomal RNA
Source: RNAcentral
GACGAACGCUGGCGGCGUGCCUAAUACAUGCAAGUAGAACGCUGAAGAGAGGAGCUUGCUCUUCUUGGAUGAGUUGCGAACGGGUGAGUAACGCGUAGGUAACCUGCCUUUUAGCGGGGGAUAACUAUUGGAAACGAUAGCUAAUACCGCAUAACAAUGGAUGACACAUGUCAUUUAUUUGAAAGGGGCAAUUGUUCCACUACAAGAUGGACCUGCGUUGUAUUAGCUAGUAGGUGAGGUAAUGGCUCACCUAGGCGACGAUACAUAGCCGGCCUGAGAGGGUGGUCGGCCAAACUGGGACUGAGACACCGCCCAGACUCCUACGGGAGGCAGCAGUAGGGAAUCUUCGGCAAUGGGGGCAGCCCUGACCGAGCAACGCCGCGUGAGUGAAGAAGGUUUUCGGAUCGUAAAGCUCUGUUGUAAGUCAAGAACGGGUGUGAGAGUGGAAAGUUCACACUGUGACGGUAGCUUACCAGAAAGGGACGGCUAACUACGUG